UUCAACUCCUCUUCUUAAC
RNAcentral lists this transfer RNA (19 nucleotides) under Euproctus platycephalus. RNAcentral describes it as "partial tRNA-Leu". Lineage: Eukaryota; Metazoa; Chordata; Amphibia; Caudata; Salamandridae. The record is from RNAcentral.